RNAcentral lists this transfer RNA (91 nucleotides) under Ralstonia chuxiongensis. Its description in RNAcentral is "tRNA-Arg". The record is from RNAcentral. Lineage: Bacteria; Pseudomonadati; Pseudomonadota; Betaproteobacteria; Burkholderiales; Burkholderiaceae.
GCAACGUAUGGCCAUCGGACGGCGCGCGGGCCACGGCCUCGCCGGCGGCCAUGCCAUUGGCUGCGGGGCGAUCUUCGACGCCCACCUCGCG